CAAAAGCGAGAAACGAGGUUGUUCGACAAGGCUACGGUCUAACUUUUUCUUCCUAGCGGAGUUCAAUACGAAAAUAAAGGCGCUCCGCGUUGGGAAUGGCAUACUACGUACGGGUGGUAUUUCAGGUAUAACUGAUCAGGGUUGUUCUGAAAGCAAGUCAAUUGGUGCUUUGGAAAGUGAGUGCCAGAGGCUAGUCACUGCUUGGUUUACAGAAGGGAAGGAAGAAAGAGAUACC
RNAcentral lists this long non-coding RNA (235 nucleotides) under Hordeum vulgare. RNAcentral describes it as "long non-coding RNA (HVUL_LNC004344)". Lineage: Eukaryota; Viridiplantae; Streptophyta; Magnoliopsida; Poales; Poaceae. The record is from RNAcentral.